GGAGAGGUGUCCGAGUUGGCUUAAGGAGCACGGUUGGAAACCGUGUGUGCGUUAACGCGUACCGUGGGUUCGAAUCCCACUCUCUCCGCCA
RNAcentral lists this transfer RNA (91 nucleotides) under Candidatus Eiseniibacteriota bacterium. RNAcentral's name for it is "tRNA-Ser". It matches the Rfam family "tRNA". Rfam says of the family: Transfer RNA (tRNA) molecules are approximately 80 nucleotides in length. Lineage: Bacteria; Candidatus Eiseniibacteriota. The record is from RNAcentral.